RNAcentral lists this transfer RNA (72 nucleotides) under Camelus bactrianus (Bactrian camel). It matches the Rfam family "tRNA". From Rfam's summary of the family: Transfer RNA (tRNA) molecules are approximately 80 nucleotides in length. RNAcentral also lists the same sequence under 2 other names. The record is from Rfam by way of RNAcentral. Lineage: Eukaryota; Metazoa; Chordata; Mammalia; Artiodactyla; Camelidae.
GAGGGUACAGCUCAGUGGUAGAGCACAUGCUUAGCAAGCACAAAGCCCUGGGUUCAAUCCCCAAUACCUCCA